GAUGAAGAACGUAGCGAAAUGCGAUAAGUAAUGCGAAUUGCAGAAUCCGUGAGUCAUCGAAUCUUUGAACGCACAUUGCGCCCCUUGGUUAUUCCGAAGGGCAUGCCUGUUCGAGCGUCAUUAUCACCCCUCAAGCUCUCGCUUGGUAUUGGGGUUCGCGGUUUCGCGGCCCCUAAAAUCAGUGGCGGUGCCUGUCGGCUCUACGCGUAGUAAUACUCCUCGCGAUUGAGUCCGGUAGGUCUACUUGCCAGCAACCCCUAAUUUUUUUAAGGUUGACCUCGGAUCAGGUAGGGAUACCCGCUGAACUUAAGCAUAUCAAUAAGCGGAGGA
RNAcentral lists this unclassified non-coding RNA (330 nucleotides) under soil metagenome. Its description in RNAcentral is "partial contains 5.8S ribosomal RNA, internal transcribed spacer 2, and large subunit ribosomal RNA". The stretch from base 1 to 120 matches the Rfam family "5.8S ribosomal RNA", at positions 35 to 154 of the family's 154-position model. The record is from RNAcentral.